This 1151-nucleotide ribosomal RNA is filed under the name Melanonus zugmayeri (arrowtail). Its description in RNAcentral is "bacterial LSU rRNA". It matches the Rfam family "Bacterial large subunit ribosomal RNA", at positions 1760 to 2925 of the family's 2925-position model. The record is from RNAcentral. Lineage: Eukaryota; Metazoa; Chordata; Actinopteri; Gadiformes; Melanonidae.
CCGUAAGCUAUUGGCAGUCGCAGAUACCAGGCUGCUGCAACUGUUUAUUAAAAACACAGCACUCUGCAAACACGAAAGUGGACGUAUAGGGUGUGAUGUCUGCCCGGUGCUGGAAGGUUAAUUGAUGGGCUUAGCGUAUGCGAAGGUCUUGAUCGAAGCCCCAGUAAACGGCGGCCGUAACUAUAACGGUCCUAAGGUAGCGAAAUUCCUUGUCGGGUAAGUUCCGACCUGCACGAAUGACAUAAUGAUGGCAGCGCUGUCUCCAGCAGAGACUCAGUGAAAUCGAAAUCGCAGUGAAGAUGCUGUGUACCCGCGGCUAGACGGAAAGACCCCGUGAACCUUUACUACAGCUUUACAUUGAACUUUGACCUGACUUGUGCAGGAUAGGUGGGAGGCUUUGAAACCGAGACGCCAGUCUUGGUGGAGCCAUCCUUGAAAUACCACCCUGGUCAUGUUGGGGUUCUAACUCAGGUAUCACAAUACCGAGGACAAUGUAUGGUGGGUAGUUUGACUGGGGCGGUCUCCUCCUAAAGAGUAACGGAGGAGUACGAAGGUGCGCUCAGAACGGUCGGAAAUCGUUCAAAGAGUAUAAAGGCAAAAGCGCGCUUAACUGCGAGACCCACAAGUCGAGCAGGUACGAAAGUAGGUCUUAGUGAUCCGGUGGUUCUGUAUGGAAGGGCCAUCGCUCAACGGAUAAAAGGUACUCUGGGGAUAACAGGCUGAUACCGCCCAAGAGUUCAUAUCGACGGCGGUGUUUGGCACCUCGAUGUCGGCUCAUCUCAUCCUAGGGCUGAAGCAGGUCCUAAGGGUAUGGCUGUUCGCCAUUUAAAGAGGUACGCGAGCUGGGUUUAGAACGUCGUGAGACAGUUCGGUCCCUAUCUACCGUGGGCGUUGGAAAUUUGAGAGGAUCUGCUCCUAGUACGAGAGGACCAGAGUGGACGAACCGCUGGUGUUCGGGUUGUCAUGCCAAUGGCAUUGCCCGGUAGCUACGUUCGGAUGGGAUAACCGCUGAAAGCAUCUAAGCGGGAAGCCCACCUCAAGAUUAGAUUUCCCUAAAGAGCCGUUCAAGACUAGGACGUUGAUAGGCAGGGUGUGGAAGCGCAGCGAUGCGUGUAGCUAACCUGUACUAAUUGCUCGUUUGGCUUGACCAU